GGCCUUGGAGUCGAGUCAGGGUUGCCAAAUGCCAGAUGCUGGUCACCUGCUUCUUUAUCUUGGUAACAGCUGCUGGGCCUCUCUGAGGCCACCAUAGUGACUCUUACCUACUUCGGGGCCCACUUUGCUGUCAUCCGCCAAGCGUCCCUGGAGAAGAACCCAUCCCAGGCUAUGCACCAAUGGGCCUUCUCUGCGGGGUUGAGCCUGGUGGGCCUCCUGACUCUGGGAGCUGUGCUGAGCGCUGCAGCCACCGUGAGGGAGGCCCAGGGCCUCAUGGCGGGGGGCUUCCUGUGCUUCUCCCUGGCGUUCUGCGCACAGGUGCAGGUGGUGUUCUGGAGACUCCACAGCCCCACCCAGGUGGAGGAUGCCAUGCUGGACACCUACGACCUGGUAUAUGAGCAGGCGAUGAAAGGCACAUCCCACGUCUGGCGGCAGGAGCUGGCGGCCAUCCAGGACGUGUUUCUGUGCUGUGGGAAGAGGUCUCCUUUCAGCCGUCUGGGGAACACAGAGGCUGACCUGUGUCAGGGAGAGGAGACGGCAAGAGAGGUGAGGGGGGGACCUGGAUGCUGGCCAGGCAAGACCCUCGGGGGCUGGACACCCUGGGGCCCAACCCCAAGACUCAGGGCCAUCCUCCCACCCCA
RNAcentral lists this small RNA (641 nucleotides) under Pongo abelii (Sumatran orangutan). Its description in RNAcentral is "retained intron". Lineage: Eukaryota; Metazoa; Chordata; Mammalia; Primates; Hominidae. The record is from RNAcentral.